Sapajus apella (tufted capuchin) is the source of this 101-nucleotide long non-coding RNA. RefSeq lists it as uncharacterized. The transcript has 3 exons. The record is from RefSeq and is a predicted model, not a curated record. Lineage: Eukaryota; Metazoa; Chordata; Mammalia; Primates; Cebidae.
UAUUCUCUGAAGCUCAGCUAUAACCCCACCACUUCUUUCCUUUUUGAGAUGGAGCUUCACUCUUCACGCAGGCUGGAGUACAGUGGCCCAAUCUCAGCUCA